CGGGAUGUGGCUCAGACUGGUAGAGCGCCGCGUUCGGGACGCGGAGACCGGAGGUUCAAAUCCUCUCAUCCCGACCA
RNAcentral lists this transfer RNA (77 nucleotides) under Pseudomonadota bacterium. Its description in RNAcentral is "Proteobacteria bacterium tRNA-Pro". It matches the Rfam family "tRNA". Rfam says of the family: Transfer RNA (tRNA) molecules are approximately 80 nucleotides in length. Their secondary structure includes four short double-helical elements and three loops (D, anti-codon, and T loops). Lineage: Bacteria; Pseudomonadati; Pseudomonadota. The record is from RNAcentral. RNAcentral also lists the same sequence under 1 other name.